UACGGGGGGGGCAAGCGUUGUUCGGAAUUACUGGGCGUAAAGGGUUUGUAGGUGGCUUGCUAAGUCAGACGUGAAAUCCCUCAGCUUAACUGGGGGACUGCGUCUGAUACUGGCGAGCUUGAGUGCAGGAGAGGAACGCGGAAUUCCAGGUGUAGCGGUGAAAUGCGUAGAUAUCUGGAGGAACACCGGUGGCGAAGGCGGCGUUCUGGACUGUAACUGACACUGAGAAACGAAAGCCAGGGUAGCAAACGGG
RNAcentral lists this ribosomal RNA (253 nucleotides) under uncultured bacterium. RNAcentral's name for it is "partial 16S ribosomal RNA". It matches the Rfam family "Bacterial small subunit ribosomal RNA", at positions 524 to 776 of the family's 1533-position model. The record is from RNAcentral.